This 500-nucleotide ribosomal RNA is filed under the name uncultured bacterium. Its description in RNAcentral is "partial 16S ribosomal RNA". It matches the Rfam family "Bacterial small subunit ribosomal RNA", at positions 28 to 523 of the family's 1533-position model. The record is from RNAcentral.
GACGAACGCUGGCGGCGUGCUUAACACAUGCAAGUCGAACGAAAAAUCAUUGAAAGCUUGCUGAUAUGAUUUUUAGUGGCGGACGGGUGAGUAACGCGUGAGGACUUGUCUUAUACAGGGGGACAACAGUUGGAAACGGCUGCUAAUACCGCAUAAUCUCGAGAGAGCAAAGCUGCAGCAAUGUAGCGCUUUUAGAGGGGCCUGCGUCCGAUUAGUUAGUUGGUGAGGUAAAAGCUCACCAAGACGAUGAUCGGUAACUGGUCUGAGAGGACGACCAGUCACACUGGGACUGAGACACGGCCCAGACUCCUACGGGAGGCAGCAGUGGGGAAUCUUGGACAAUGGGGGAAACCCUGAUCCAGCGAUGCCGCGUGAGUGAAGAAGGCCUUCGGGUCGUAAAGCUCUUUAGGCUGGGAAGAAGGAUAUUCGAGGGAAUGCGAGUAUUUUGACUGUACCAGCAGAAUAAGCACCGGCAAACUCUGUGCCAGCAGCCGCAGUAA